Molecule: ribosomal RNA, 341 nt
Filed under: Enterococcus faecalis
Lineage: Bacteria; Bacillati; Bacillota; Bacilli; Lactobacillales; Enterococcaceae
Also listed under: 1 other name
Description: partial 23S ribosomal RNA
Rfam family: Bacterial large subunit ribosomal RNA
Source: RNAcentral
GUUGAAGGAUUUGGAAAAUUCCGCUAAAGAGGGUGAAAGCCCCGUAGACGAAAUGCUGACAACACCUAGGAGGAUCCUGAGUACGGCGGAACACGAGAAAUUCCGUCGGAAUCCGCGGGGACCAUCCCGCAAGGCUAAAUACUCCCUAGUGACCGAUAGUGAACCAGUACCGUGAGGGAAAGGUGAAAAGCACCCCGGAAGGGGAGUGAAAUAGAUCCUGAAACCGUGUGCCUACAACAAGUCAAAGCUCGUUAAUGAGUGAUGGCGUGCCUUUUGUAGAAUGAACCGGCGAGUUACGAUUGCAUGCGAGGUUAAGUCGAAGAGACGGAGCCGCAGCGAAA